GGGUGUGUAGUUCAAUUGGCAGAACGCCGGCCUCCAAAGCCGGAUGUUAUUGGUUCGAGUCCAGUCAUGCCCGCCA
Molecule: transfer RNA, 76 nt
Filed under: compost metagenome
Description: tRNA-Trp
Rfam family: tRNA
About the family: Transfer RNA (tRNA) molecules are approximately 80 nucleotides in length.
Source: RNAcentral